Molecule: ribosomal RNA, 253 nt
Filed under: uncultured microorganism
Description: partial 16S ribosomal RNA
Rfam family: Bacterial small subunit ribosomal RNA
Source: RNAcentral
UACGUAGGGGGCGAGCGUUGUCCGGAAUUACUGGGCGUAAAGCGCAUGUAGGCGGGCGAGUAAGUCAGGGGUGAAAACCGUGGGCUCAACCUACGGCUUGCCCUUGAUACUGGUCGUCUUGAGUACAGGAGAGGGAGGCGGAAUUCCCGGUGUAGCGGUGAAAUCCGUAGAUAUCAGCAGGAACGCCGGUGGAGAAGUCGGUCUCCUGGGCCGUUCCUGACGCUGAGGCGCGAAAGCUAGGGGAGCAAACCGG